This 392-nucleotide ribosomal RNA is filed under the name uncultured bacterium. Its description in RNAcentral is "partial 16S ribosomal RNA". It matches the Rfam family "Bacterial small subunit ribosomal RNA", at positions 523 to 918 of the family's 1533-position model. The record is from RNAcentral.
AUACGGAGGAUCCGAGCGUUAUCCGGAUUUAUUGGGUUUAAAGGGUGCGCAGGCGGCCAUUUAAGUCAGCGGUUAAAUCGUGGGGCUCAACCCCAUUCUGCCGUUGAUACUGGGUGGCUUGAUUGCGGUCGAGGUUGGCGGAAUUCGUUGUGUAGCGGUGAAAUGCAUAGAUAUGACGAAGAACACCGAUUGCGUAGGCAGCUGGCCAGACCGCAAAUGACGCUCAUGCACGAAAGUGCGGGGAUCGAACAGGAUUAGAUACCCUGGUAGUCCGCACAGUAAACGAUGAAUACUUGUUUUCGGCGAUAUAAUGUCGGAGGCAAAGCGAAAGCGAUAAGUAUUCCGCCUGGGGAGUACGCCGGCAACGGUGAAACUCAAAGGAAUUGACGGGG